Molecule: long non-coding RNA, 409 nt
Filed under: Equus caballus (horse)
Lineage: Eukaryota; Metazoa; Chordata; Mammalia; Perissodactyla; Equidae
Description: lncRNA (ENSECAG00000041496.2)
Source: RNAcentral
GAAAAUGUACCUGUAAGAGGCUAUGGAUAUGUAAGAAGUGAUGAAUAAUGCUAACUCUUCUACUUCAGGACUCUAAACUGGAUGCCUAUGACAGCAUGGCUUGUCCACACCUGUGAUCAGAACCCUUGAACCACGAGGCUGCCGAAGCGGAAUGUGCAAACGUGUGCGCUGUGCCACCAGGCCAGUCCCAGAAGUUCACAUUUCUGUACAGCAAAAACAUAUUCAGGAUUAUACAUACAUUUAAGGGUCUGAUGAGCGUCAGGAACAGGUGAAGGAUCCUCGCGUAUGCUCCAGACUACCAUCUGAUGCAUCUAUCUCUCUCACAACUUGGGCUCACCCAGAGCGCUCAAAGGAGACUCUCUGAACUCACCUCAGGGACAUCUCUGAAGCCACUCCAUCCAGGUCUCUA